AGAGUUUGAUCCUGGCUCAGGUUGAACGCUGGCGGCAGGCCUAACACAUGCAAGUCGAGCGGUAACAGGACUAGCUUGCUAGUUGCUGACGAGCGGCGGACGGGUGCGUAACACGUAGGAAUCUACCCAGUAGCGGGGGAUAGCCCGGAGAAAUCCGGAUUAAUACCGCAUACGCCCUACGGGGGAAAGCAGGGGAUCUUCGGACCUUGCACUAUUGGAUGAGCCUGCGUCGGAUUAGCUAGUUGGUGGGGUAAAGGCCUACCAAGGCGACGAUCCGUAGCUGGUCUGAGAGGAUGAUCAGCCACACUGGGACUGAGACACGGCCCAGACUCCUACGGGAGGCAGCAGUGGGGAAUAUUGCACAAUGGGCGAAAGCCUGAUGCAGCCAU
This 389-nucleotide ribosomal RNA is filed under the name uncultured Gammaproteobacteria bacterium. Its description in RNAcentral is "SSU rRNA". It matches the Rfam family "Bacterial small subunit ribosomal RNA", at positions 8 to 395 of the family's 1533-position model. Lineage: Bacteria; Pseudomonadati; Pseudomonadota; Gammaproteobacteria. The record is from RNAcentral.